CAACUUUGUGGUGAGUACAAAAAGAACUAUUCUUUCGCCUUUUACUAAAGAAUACUGUGUAUUUAUCACAUAAUGAGGUAUAUGUCAAAUUUUUGAAGGGUUUCUUCUUUAUAAAAGAAGU
Molecule: non-coding RNA, 121 nt
Organism: Cicer arietinum (chickpea)
Lineage: Eukaryota; Viridiplantae; Streptophyta; Magnoliopsida; Fabales; Fabaceae
Source: Rfam